Molecule: small nucleolar RNA, 102 nt
Filed under: Ananas comosus (pineapple)
Lineage: Eukaryota; Viridiplantae; Streptophyta; Magnoliopsida; Poales; Bromeliaceae
Description: Small nucleolar RNA Z103
Rfam family: Small nucleolar RNA Z103
About the family: This family consists of several snoRNA Z103 sequences which are members of the C/D class of snoRNA which contain the C (UGAUGA) and D (CUGA) box motifs.
Source: Rfam by way of RNAcentral
GAGGAGAUGAUGAUCCUUUCCCCAGACGAUCGACGAUGAGCAUAACGUGCGCUGUUUUUGUUUAUUCUCUUCGGAGAAACCAAGCCAUGGAAUCUGAUCCUC